UCGGACGUGGUGUAUGGUGCAUCGCCCUGGACUUUUGUGGGACUGGAACAAUCCACAGAGGGCAGGAGGGGUUCGACUCCCCGCGUUCGAA
Non-coding RNA from Mycena latifolia, 91 nucleotides. NCBI's taxonomy places the organism in Eukaryota, Fungi, Basidiomycota, Agaricomycetes, Agaricales, Mycenaceae. The record is from the annotation of a GenBank genome assembly.